AUGGUCUCGGCUGCUACUUCAUCUGGUGUUGCAAGCAUUAAAGUUCCUUUUAGCUUCAGCAUAUGACCCUUCAACAAAAUUCAUAAUUUCUAAGAUUCAGUAUUAAACUCCAUAAUCUAAUACACAAAUAGUUAUUUAUUUAAGAGUUGAUAAAACCGUCAUGAGUUACUAAUAGUCCACCUCUGGGGCUGCAAACUAACCGAACGUUCAGCGAACAAUUCGUGAACCGUUCAGCAGGAAGUUCGUUUGUGUUCAUUCAUUUAAUAAAUGAACGAACACAAACAACAAAUUUCGUUCGUUUAGUUAAAUGUUCGAACACAAACAACAAAUUUCGUUCAUUUAGUUAAAUGAACGAACAUGAACAUAUGUCGUGUUUGUUCAUUUAUGCUCGUGAACACCUUGGUAACGUGUUUGUUUAUGUUCGUUUGUGUUCAAUAGUCCGUUAGUGUUUUAAAUUCUGACAAAUACAAUACUUAGUAUCAGUGUAUUAUAUAUUUUGCUCAUGAACGUUUGUUUGUGUUCAUCUUCUGUUUUCAUUUGUGUUCAUGAACAUUGUUUGUGU
Molecule: long non-coding RNA, 562 nt
Filed under: Helianthus annuus (common sunflower)
Lineage: Eukaryota; Viridiplantae; Streptophyta; Magnoliopsida; Asterales; Asteraceae
Description: sRNA HanXRQr2_Chr12g0555281
Source: RNAcentral